GAGAAGUGAAGAAGAGCGUUCGGAGGAUGCCUAGGCGUCAAGGGCCGAAGAAGGACGCGGUACACUGCGAAAAGCCUUGGGGAGCCGUGUGCAGGCGACGAUCCAAGGGUAUCCGAAUGGGGAAACCCGCCUGGUAGAAGAUCAGGCACAGGGUGAGGAACACAUAAUCACCUUGGGGGAACGCGGGGAACUGAAACAUCUUAGUACCUGCAGGAGCAAAGAGUAUUCCCUGAGUAGUGGCGAGCGAAAGGGGAGGAGUCCAAACCAACUGUGUGAGAAAGACUGCGGUCGUUGCAUAGUUGGGGUAGAAGGCCACACCGGAGGGUUCCGCAGAGCCCUCACAACAGAAGCCAAACCGAGUUGAAGGACACUGGAAAGGUCCGCCAGAGACGGUGAAAGCCCGGUAAACGGGGAGCGGUGGCGUUGGGGGUGAGCCUGAGUACCACGGGACACGAGGAACCUUGUGGGAAGCAGGGCAGACCACUGUCCAAGACUAAAUACCCUUGAUGACCGAUAGAGGACAAGUACCGUGAGGGAAAGGUGAAAAGAACCCCGGCGAGGGGAGUGAAAUAGAACCUGAAACCGAGCGCUUACAAGCGGUCGAAGCACAAUGCCCUGAGGGGCAAGUGUGACGGCGUGCCUUUUGGAGAAUGAGCCAGCGAGUUACUCUGUGUGGCAAGGUUAAGGCAGGAACAGCCGCAGCCGCAGGGAAACCGAGUCUGAAGAGGGCGACGGUCCCGGAAGGGACAGAGUCGCACGGAGUAGACACGAAACCAGGUGAGCCAUCCAUGGUCAGGCUGAAGCGGGGCUAACCCCCCGUGGAGGGCCGCACCUUUCGCUAUUGCAAAAGCGUGGGAUGAACUGUGGAUAGGGGUGAUAUGCCAAUCGAACUUGGAGAUAGCUUGUUCUCCCCGAAAUAGCUUUAGGGCUAGCCUCGUGGGAUGAGUGAUGGAGGUAGAGCACUGGAUGGGCUAGGGGCCGCAAGGCUACCAAACCCAACCAAACUCCGAAUGCCAUCACUAGAGAACACGGGAGUCGGACUACGAAUGAUGAGAUCCGUAGUCGAGAGGGAAAGAGCCCAGACCGUCGGCUAAGGUCCCGAAAUGUAAGCUAAGUGGGAAACGAUGUGGGAUUGCAGAGACAGCCAGGAGGUUGGCUUAGAAGCAGCCACCCUUUAAAGAGUGCGUAAUAGCUCACUGGUCAAGCGAUUCUGCGCGGAAAAUGUAACGGGGCUCAAGCUUACUACCGAAGCCACGGGUCCUGCGGAAGCAGGAUGGUAGGGGAGCGUUCAGUAGGCGAAGAAGCUGUACCGAGAGGAGCAGUGGAGCGUACUGGAGUGAGAAUGCUGGCAUGAGUAGCGAGAAAUACGUGAGAACCGUAUUCGCCGAAAGCCCAAGGAUUCCGACGGAAGGGCAGUCCGCGUCGGGUUAGUCGGGCCUAAGCCGAGGCCGCAAGGCGUAGGCGAUGGACAUCCGGUUAAUAUUCCGGAACCACGUAGAGGGAGCGAAGGGGAGACGCAGGGAGGUAGGUCAACCCCCCGGAUGGAAGAGGGGGGCCAAGCGUGUAGGCUGAAGAGGGUAGCAGGGAAAUCCGCUACCGGAGGUCGAGGCGUGAAGGGGACACCUACGGGUGGAAGUGGCUGAGCCUAACUGCCAAGAAAAGCCUCUAAGCGAAGAACUCUAGGUGCCCGUACCGCAAACCGACACAGGUGGGCAGGUAGAGGAUACCAAGGCGAACGGGAGAACCUUCGUCAAGGAAUUAGGCAAAUUAACCCCGUAACUUCGGGAGAAGGGGUGCCUUUCAGCGUGAGACUCAGACGAGAGGAGUGCUGGAAGGUCGCAGUGAACAGGCUCUAGCGACUGGUUAACAAAACCACAGGUCUCUGCCAACUCGAAAGAGGAAGUAUAGGGGCUGACACCUGCCCAGUGCCGGAAGGUUAAGGGGAGAGGUUAGGCCGUGGUAACACGGACGAAGCUUCGAACCGAAGCCCCGGUGAACGGCGGCCGUAACUAUAACGGUCCUAAGGUAGCGAAAUUCCUUGUCGGGUAAGUUCCGACCCGCACGAAUGGUGUAACGACUAGAGCACUGUCUCGACGAAGGACCCGGCGAAAUUGAAGACGCGGUA
Molecule: ribosomal RNA, 2125 nt
Filed under: Candidatus Altarchaeales archaeon
Lineage: Archaea; Nanobdellati; Candidatus Altarchaeota; Candidatus Altarchaeia; Candidatus Altarchaeales
Description: partial 23S ribosomal RNA
Rfam family: Bacterial large subunit ribosomal RNA
Source: RNAcentral